CCGGACUGUAAACCCCGGGAAGAUUCGAGUGCCCGGACCCCCUAAGAAAAGGAAAGUCGAUCUGGUAGUCUGGCCACCUGGUCCCGCGAGCUUCAGGUGCGCGCCCACGACCUGCAAAGGGGGCCCAAGCAGGCCAAGCGAGCGAAGAACCUCCCCGAGCGCCUCUCUUACCUUCGUUGUCACAGCCGCGUCCUCUCGGCUGGGGAAAGAAAAACAAAAUCCAAAUACAAAAAGCCAGGAGGCCCCGGGCUCGUGGCCGGGGGAAAGGGGCGCGUGGUCCGCGUCCGGGUGCUCGCCCUCAGCGCCCCGCGAACAGCCGCCGCCACAGCGGCCG
Molecule: long non-coding RNA, 334 nt
Filed under: Rattus norvegicus (Norway rat)
Lineage: Eukaryota; Metazoa; Chordata; Mammalia; Rodentia; Muridae
Description: long non-coding RNA NONRATT008155
Source: RNAcentral